GGGCCCGUAGUCUAGCCUGGUUAGGAUGCGGCCCUUACAAGGCUGAGGUCCUGGGUUCAAAUCCCAGCGGGCCCA
RNAcentral lists this transfer RNA (75 nucleotides) under Candidatus Acidianus copahuensis. It matches the Rfam family "tRNA". From Rfam's summary of the family: Transfer RNA (tRNA) molecules are approximately 80 nucleotides in length. Their secondary structure includes four short double-helical elements and three loops (D, anti-codon, and T loops). Further hydrogen bonds mediate the characteristic L-shaped molecular structure. tRNAs have two regions of fundamental functional importance: the anti-codon, which is responsible for specific mRNA codon recognition, and the 3' end, to which the tRNAs corresponding amino acid is attached (by aminoacyl-tRNA synthetases). tRNAs cope with the degeneracy of the genetic code in two manners: having more than one tRNA (with a specific anti-codon) for a particular amino acid; and 'wobble' base-pairing, i.e. permitting non-standard base-pairing at the 3rd anti-codon position. RNAcentral also lists the same sequence under 1 other name. Lineage: Archaea; Thermoproteati; Thermoproteota; Thermoprotei; Sulfolobales; Sulfolobaceae. The record is from Rfam by way of RNAcentral.